AUUGAACGCUGGCGGCAGGCCUAACACAUGCAAGUCGAACGGUAACAGGAAACAGCUUGCUGUUUCGCUGACGAGUGGCGGACGGGUGAGAAAUGUCUGGGAAACUGCCUGAUGGAGGGGGAUAACUACUGGAAACGGUAGCUAAUACCGCAUAACGUCGCAAGACCAAAGAGGGGGACCCUCGGGCCUCUUGCCAUCGGAUGUGCCCAGAUGGGAUUAGCCUGUUGGUGGGGUAACGGCUCACCAAGGCGACGAUCCCUAGCUGGUCUGAGAGGAUGACCCGCCACACUGGAACUGAGACACGGUCCAGACUCCUACGGGAGGCAGCAGUGGGGAAUAUUGCACAAUGGGCGCAAGCCUGAUGCAGCCAUGCCGCGUGUAUGAAGAAGGCCUUCGGGUUGUAAAGUACUUUCAGCGGGGAGGAAGGGAGUAAAGUUAAUACCUUUGCUCAUUGACGUUACCCGCAGAAGAAGCACCGGCUAACUCCGUG
RNAcentral lists this ribosomal RNA (490 nucleotides) under uncultured bacterium. RNAcentral's name for it is "partial 16S ribosomal RNA". It matches the Rfam family "Bacterial small subunit ribosomal RNA", at positions 30 to 507 of the family's 1533-position model. The record is from RNAcentral.